This 445-nucleotide ribosomal RNA is filed under the name uncultured bacterium. Its description in RNAcentral is "partial 16S ribosomal RNA". It matches the Rfam family "Bacterial small subunit ribosomal RNA", at positions 354 to 796 of the family's 1533-position model. The record is from RNAcentral.
GUGAGGAAUAUUGCGCAAUGGAGGCAACUCUGACGCAGCCAUGCCGCGUGCAGGAAGAAGGCGCUACGCGUUGUAAACUGCUUUUAACCGGGAAGAAACCCCCGGACGUGUCCUGGGUUGACGGUACCGGAGGAAUAAGCACCGGCUAACUUCGUGCCAGCAGCCGCGGUAAUACGAAGGGUGCAAGCGUUAUCCGGAUUCAUUGGGUUUAAAGGGUGCGUAGGCGGAGCGUUAAGUCAGUGGUGAAAUCCUGCAGCUUAACUGUAGACUUGCCAUUGAUACUGGCGCUCUUGAGUGCGCUUGAAGUGGGCGGAAUGUGCCGUGUAGCGGUGAAAUGCUUAGAUAUGGCACAGAACACCAAUUGCGAAGGCAGCUCACUAAGGCGAUACUGACGCUGAGGCACGAAAGCGUGGGGAUCGAACAGGAUUAGAUACCCCAGUAGUCC